GAAAUAGAAAGAAACAAAAGCAAAAACAAAACAGAAAGGGAAGGAAAGAAAGAAAGAAAGAAAGAAAGAACGAAAGAGACGAAGGCUUAGGGUUUUCAAUUGUUCAAAGCUCAAUCGCUAACGUCGUACCGGAACCCUCGAUUAAAAAGGGAAAAGAUAAAGUCGACGAGGAAUAGCUCGGCAUUUCCGAUUUGUAUUUCUAUAAUUCGAAUUUAGUUGUUAAUUGUUAUAAUUCAAUUUAAUGUAUAUGGUAAGUGUUGAGGUGAGAAUUAUUGUGUUUUGCAAUUGAAAUGGAUUGAUUUAGUAUGUGGUGAAUUUAUUGAAAUUAUAUCGA
Molecule: long non-coding RNA, 334 nt
Organism: Gossypium arboreum
Lineage: Eukaryota; Viridiplantae; Streptophyta; Magnoliopsida; Malvales; Malvaceae
Exons: 2
Source: RefSeq, a predicted model, not a curated record